This 28580-nucleotide long non-coding RNA is filed under the name Musa acuminata (dwarf banana). Its description in RNAcentral is "long non-coding RNA (MACU_LNC001954)". Lineage: Eukaryota; Viridiplantae; Streptophyta; Magnoliopsida; Zingiberales; Musaceae. The record is from RNAcentral.
CAAGUUGCUGCUCAAAGGCUGCAGAAAAGAUUCAUCUAUUGCUUAUCAAAAGAGGAUGAAUACAUAGCUAUUUAUAGGGUUUCUAAACCCUAACUCCUAAUAGGACUCCUACUCAAGAGUCCUACUCAAGACUCCUAAUAGGACUCCUACUCAAGACUCCUAUUCCCUUACAACUCCUAAUUCUUCUCUAAGAAAAAACCUCCUACAUGAAUGUCCCUCUUAAUUAGGACUCUCCUAGCUAGAGUCCUAACAGAAUGUCCCUCUCAAUUAGGACUCUCCUAGCUAAAGUUCUAACAGUUUUACAUGAAUGUCCCUCUCAAUUAGGACUCUCCUAGCUAGAGUCCUAACAUGUAGGUCAUGAUGACCGAACCACUAUAAAAAUCUAGUUUGUAUUUACUUCUUGCUAUUUAUUUUUAUUGCAAACUGAAUCCUUACUUACACUAUACUCUCAUAUGUUUUCAAGUUAAUAUCUUUCCGAGAUCAAUUUUUAUCAUAAGAAGAAUUUUUUAAAACUGACGUUUUUAUCCGCUGCUCUAAUUCACCCACCCCCCCCCCCCAACACCCCCCCCCCCUCUUAGUGUCGACUCAUUCCUAAUAAAUCAAAAAAUCUAUUUUUGUGUGGUGUUUGUAUAAUGCAAGCAUUAGAUUCAAAUUUGAUGUUAUAACCCUUAAACACACAAUUGACUAAUGCUUAGCAAGUUAUGUUUUAAACCAUCUACUAAUAAAAUAUUUUUAAUCAAAAGGCUUAAUUUAUUACCUAUCUUUUUUUUAUUAAUAAUUUUUCCUUUAUUGUUGUCUCCGAAUAUGACAUAUCUUUCAUCUUGGCUAGUGAGCUUAAAGAAUUGUAUUGGAUCUCCGGUCAUAUGGAUUAAACAUCCACUAUCAAGGUAUUAUCUCUUGCUCCUAGCUUUUGAUUAUAGACAUAUAAACAAGAAAUGGGGUUUUGCUUUAGGUACACACUUAGCUUUCGAUCCCUCAUGAAAAGAUUUACCUAUUUUGAGUAAUGGUAUUAAGUUAUUUAUGGUUCCUUUAGGAACCUAAACUAAUUUGUAUGAGCUAUAUUUUUUAAAUGAACAUUUAUAAGUAUAAUGUCCACACCUACCAUAAAAAUUAAAUUUAUUUUAAGGGGAAACAUGUAAUGUGGGUCCUUUAAUGAAAGUAGUUAGUUUUUGUUGAGUGUUACUUACAAAGUCAAUUCCUUCCUUUUUAUGAAGAUGACCCUUAUUGGCAAAAAUUAUGUUUAAUGAUUUGUUAUCAAUUUUAUUUUUUUCUAAAAUUUAUUGUAAUACUAUAUUUUCUUUCUUAAGUGAAUCUAAUUCUUUAUACUUAAUGCAAGGGGUUAACAAACAUUUAUCAUACUCAUUUUUUAAAUUAUCAAAUUCAUUAGAAAGAGAAGUAUGAUCUUUUUUAAUAAUUUAUAUUUUUUACCAACUAAUUUAUAUUCAUCAAAUAAAUCAUGAAAAGUAUUAUGUAAUUCAUCGUGAGGUAAAUGGGUUUCAGUUGAGUCGCAUACCUUGUCAUAAAGAGUCAUCAAUGUGUAGUUCAUCACCUCGCCUUCAUUGGUUUGCUCCUCAUCUUCGGAUGAGCUCGAUUUGUCCCAAGUUGCAUUGAGUGCUUUCUUCUUUUUUGGCAGCUUCUUCUUCUUCCAUUAAGGACAUUCACUUUUGAAGUGUCCCGACUUCUUACAUUCGUAGCAGAUGAUUGUGUCCUUUUUUAGUUCAUUUUUGUUUUUAGAAUCUUAUUUUACAAGAUUUGUUUUGUUUCUUCUUAUGAAUUUUUUAAAUUUUCUUGAUAGAAGUGUCAAGUCCUCAUCAUCACUUGAGCUUUUGUUAAGUGGUCUUCUUUAGUUCUAAGUGUCAUAUCCUUCCUAUUCUUUAGAAGGUUAUUCCCUUGUUCAUCAUGUUCAUCAUCUGCCUUGCAUGUCAUUUUAUAGGUUAUUAAUGACCCUAUGAGUUCUUCGAGUGGAAACAGUUCAAGUCCUUUGCUUCUUGAAUAGCAGUUACUUUUGGAUCCCAAUUUUUAGGAAGAUAUCGUAAAAUUUUAUUAAUAAGUUCAAGAUUCGAAAAACUUUUACCAAGUGCUUUCAAACAAUUGACGACAUCCGUAAAACGAGUGUACAUGUCUCAAAUGGUUUCGCUUGAUUUCAUUCGAAACAAUUGAAAACUAUGUAUCAAAAGAUUGAUUUUAGACUCUUUAACUCUACUUGUGUCUUUAUGUGUAACUUUGAGAAUGUGUCAAAUAUCAUAUACAGUUUUGCAUAUAGAAAUAUAAUUAAAUUUAUUUUUAUCUAAAAAAUAAAAUAAAAUAUUUAUAGCUUUUGCAUUUAAAGAAAAUAAUUUUUUUCUCUAGAUCAUUCAAAUCAUUCAUUGGUCUAAAGGAUUUUGAAAAUCAUAUUCUAUAAUAUUCCAUAAAUUAAAGUCCAUAGAAAUUAGAAAAAUCCUCAUGCGAGUUUUCCAAUACAUGUAGUCUGUCUCAUUGAACAUAGGAGGAGAAGUGAUAGAAUGACCCUUUAGAUUGUUGAUAAAAGUCAUUCUCGGGUGUUAAACCAAUCGAGAAAAACUUGGGUCUGGUACCAACUAUUAGGACUAUUUCGGCACUAGAUUGGAAAUAAGUUUAACUUAAAAUGUUUAUAAAGUAGUGAGCAAGUAAAUCAGUUAGUAAUAAGAAUGAAAAGCAUAACAGAAAUACAAACUGAGUUUAUAGUGGUUCGGUCGUCACGACCUACGUCCACUCCCGAUUCCUCUUCCGUCGAGGCCAUCGGCAUUCACUAACGAUCUUUUUUCAAUGGGCGAAGACCAACUACCCUCUUACAACUCUUUUUUCUUUUCACAGGUCUAGGAGAAAAUAUUUAUAAGUCUCACACAUCUCUUAGAAUGAUCUUAAAACUUUAAGUAGGUUGAGGAGGACACUUAGCAAUUUUCAAGACUCUACAACUCAGAAUCACUACAAUUUUUAUUCUCUUGUCAUGCUCCUUCGAACAAGAAAGAGUCGAGUAUUUAUAGGCUCCAAUGGCUUCAAAAAUGAGCUAAAAAAUAUAUUAUCCCAGAUUUCCAAGGUACUAGCGGUACCACCACCAUUACUAGGCGAUAUCACCGCUUGUCAAGCUAACAAUUGACGAUACUAUCGUCUAGUCUAGGCAAUACUACCACCUACCAGACUGACACUGGGCGAUACCACCGCCCAGUCUAAUGGAUACCACCACCUGACAUAGACUGAGAGAUUGUGUCUAGGUGGUACCAUCGCUUGACACUAGCGGUACCAUCGCCUAGGUUUCCCGGAGACAUACACUGUCUCAUAGGCGGUUCCACCACCUGGGCCAGCUUAGAACAUUAAAUUGAUCUUUCAAUAGACCCAAUUCAACCCUGAUUUAGGCCCAACUGACCCCUAAUUAAGUUGACAUGGUUGUACCCAAAAUCAACUCAAUUAGACUCUAAAACUACGGCGAUCAUGACUUCAAUGAUUAUAAAAUGUAGAAUCUUUUGUUGUCUAGCAUAUCAUUAGUUCAUCCGAACUCUCGGCGAACUUUUAGUGCAUCGUCCGAACCUUCGGCAUAUCGCCCAAUACAUCCACAUGUUGACUCCCGCAACAUCCGAUCUUAGCAUAACAUCCAAUUCUUCAAGCCUAAUGCCCAAUUUCUGACUCUGACUCAAUGUCUGAUUCUUCUUGCUUUAAUUGUUUCACCGUUUCAUGAUCAAAGUUAGUCUUGCAUCACUUUUCUCAAAAAUACAGAUUAGAUCGUACACUCGUCAAUUGAUUUCAUCAUCAAAAUCCGAGGUUCAAUAGAUAAUAGAGUCAUAGGCAUGACGGUGUCAUGGUAUCACUGAGGUGGGACUUUCAUGGAAUUAUCGAUCCCUUAAUUUUAUAGAGGAAGAGCACUUGGUCAUGAAAGGAGCCGAGGAGGUAAAGAAUAUAGAGGCAAACUCCAAGUGCCAAGAUAAGUCUAAAGGGCAAAGGCUAGGGAACUUUAUAAAACUAGUGUCGAUAGGCUUUUCAUCAAGAUAGUUGAAAAUAUGGGACUUUGGGUUGAUGCAAGAGUGCACAACAAGGAAUGGAGGAGAUAGUAUGCAAUGUGGUACCUUUUCCACUUAGAGGCAUAGGCGACAGAAAUGAUAGAGAAGACGGUAUAAUCCCAGAGAUGACUAAAACUAUUAGAGACUUGCUCCAAGUCAUGACAAAAUUUUACUUUUUUUAGGUAAAAAAUUCUUAUAUUUUAAAAGGUUAAUGAUAAUAAGGAGGCAAAUCACAGUAGCUAACUUAAUGCAAGGAGUACAAACAUUUUGGAUGCUUGAGAAGUGUAAGCAAAGAACAAGCGAAAGCUAAUAACCAACUUGAUGCAUGAAGUAUAAUCUCGAAGAGGCAAGCAAAGUCAAGUAAUAUUUGCCUUCUCAACUUUGAAGAGAAUGGGCAAAACUGAGUAUUCAAGUUCUCUUAUUUAUCCAACAAAUAAGCUCUACAAAUGUUCAAAGGUUCUUCGAAGAAACUUAAUGGAGAACAAUAGUUAUCAAAUCCUCACCAAUAGUAACCGAUUCUACCAAAAGCAGACUCUUUGCUUUAUUUCCAACAGAAUGUCAAUCGAAAGUGAAAGUAAUGUGAACCUACUUGUAAGUGACAACUUAGUAGAAGAUGAAUCGACGGACAAAUUUUAUGGAGGAAAGACCUUAAAAACUUCAAAAUCAAUGAGACAAUGCUCAUUAAAGCUCCAAUAGGCAUCCAACCAGUUCAAGUAACGUGAGAUAUUUUAGAGAUUGACAUAUAACAAGGAAUGUCUUUUCUUUCAACUGAAGGAUUCAUAGGAAUCAAUAAAGAUUAGCAUAACUCAACCAACCCCACACUAGAGUCAGAGUCAUUGACGAGUUGUAGCAUGACGAAUCAAAGUUCAACUACUCAAUAAUAAUGGUGGAGGGUGCAUUAUAAUUAGAUCAAAAGAUUGAGGAUCCCACAAAAGUAAGAAGAUGUAGCAUCUAUAAAGGCUUUGACGAGAACAUCAAAGGAAUAAGUGGGGGAGAAUAUCAUAGACAAAGUUAUAAAUAAGGUAUUCGAUGUAAUGCUUGUGUAUAUCCAUAUCUUUUAGUUUUGUUCAUACUUUACAUAGCAUAUAGAGAGUUUAUAGUAGGAUUAAUAACCCUAGUUUAGUUGGCUUUUAUGGUCAUUUCAGUAUUGUAAAUGCAAGUUAUAUGUAAUCAUCGCAUAGAGGCAAAAUUGUCUAGAAACAAACCAUCCAAGCAACUAUUUUGGGGGUUUUCUAUCUCCGCAGAGUAGUAUGGACUAUCAACUAGCAAAGCACUGAAGAGCUAUCCAAGUGGCAAAUGGUUGGAUAGACCUUUAGGGUAGUGGCUUAGGUUGAUUUGUUGUCUUGUUCUGUAGAAGUGUCAUGUGGGCACUUAUAGGGGCUUUUGAUCACAGUGAACCACUUUGGACCCUUUGUUGUAUAACCAUUCAAAGCUUGUAAAGUCUAUGUUUGUAGUUUGCAUUAUCUAUCAAGUGCUUGCUGAAUUGACUGUUUAUUGAAUCUCGAGUUAAAUGCUUCCUCUAAUCUAUUUUCUCUUUUAUCGGUUAAGAACCAUAAAAAAUUUAAGGGAGGCCGACUCUUUGCAAACGAAUAUAUAAGAAUGUCACACGAUUUAGAUAAAACUAACUAAGUCCGUGAGAGUCAGGUAUUUGGAGAAACUUGGGACUACUAAAGUCAAGAAGGGUCAUUGGUGUGAUUUGAUUAACCGAUGAUAUCGACCUAAGAUCUACUCAAGCAAAACUAUAAUAUUUUUGGCACUUAAGCUUUCAACUUAUAAAUAUCGGGUAACCCUUCCAUUAGAAGAACGGAGAUGAUCACAUCAGACGAAUCAGAGUUGAUUUGAUGACUUCAAAUUUGGGUUCACAUCAUGUGGUUGGAAAGUGCCCUUAUUUAUAGUUUUUUUUUUUACGAAAACAUGACAAAUUUGAUAAGCAACAUAUAUCAAAUCUUGUUGCAAUAGGUACCUCAGCCUCCAAAAGGUUGAUAAGAUUCCUAGAGUUUUAUCGUAGAAGAAGAGAGAAAAUGAAUGAUUGCUUGAAGGGGAUCGAUCUCCUUGAUCGUUUCAAGGGGAUCAGUCUCCUAGGGUUUGUUAAAAGACUGGAUAGUAUUUUAUUGAUAAUUUAAAAGAAAUAGAUACAUCCAUAUUUAUAGAAUUUCACUCAGAGUCCAUCUAGACUUGGACUCUUAAUAAUAAAUAAAUAUUAAAUAAACCCCUAUCCGACUCUUACCAAACUAAACAGACUCAACAAAAUAUUAUUCAAAAGCUCAGAAAAUAAAAUAAUCCUAACAAUUCCUUUUUCUUCAAUUCAACCUUAUCCUCAAGGCUAAACAACAUCAAAUUCAGGAAACUUCUCUUUUAGCGCCUUGUAAGACUCCCAAAUGGCAUCUUCCUUUAAUAAGUUGGCUUAUUGCACCAGCACUUCAGUCAUAGGAUGUUUACGGUAUAUUUCAACUCAUCAAUCAAGUAUGACUUGUGGUUGAGCUUGAACUUCCCUAGUAGUAAAGAUGUCCAGCAAAUGGCAUUGCACUAUCUCAUCUUCACCCAACUUCCUCUUUAAGGUAGGAAACAUGAAAAAUUGGAUGUAUUUUAGAGUUAGUAGGCAAAUCUAGGUGGUAGGCAACAGGUCCAAUGCGUUCUAAUACUUUAUAAGGCCUAAAAAAUCGAGGAGACUGCUUCAUGGAAGAUCGAACCUUUAUGGAAGUUUACUUGUAGGGUUGAAGAUGAAGGAAAACCCAAUCACCCACGAUAAAUUCUCGUUCACUUCAGUGUUUAUCAGCUUAUUGUUCCAUUCUUGCUUGUGUGGUUAUGAGGUUAUCCUUUAAAAGAUGAAUAAUCUUAUUUCUAUCAAUCAAUUCCUUGUCCAGUUGAUCAACUUAGAAGAAUCGAGUACAUAUUUUAUAAUUGUAGGUGGAGGUCGAUCAUAAACUGCUUCAAAUGAAGUCAUUUUAAUAGAAAAAUGAUCAGAGAUAUUAUACCACCACUCUACCCAGGGAAGCCAUUUAAUCCAUUCCUUCGGCUUAUCACUAGUAAAGCUUCUCAAGUAAUUUUCUAGGCACAUGUUUACCACUUCAGUUUACCUAUCUAUUUGUGGAUGAUAAGCUAGUAAAAACCUUGUCUCUAUCACUAACAAUGGAACGGAAACUCCCAUGCAAUUUAGCUAUGUUCUCCAUAAAAAUACGAGCAACACUUGCGGCAAUAUAAGGAUGUCAUAAAGCACAUAAAUGAGCAUACUUUGAAAGCCUAUCCACAACUACAAGUAUAGUACUUUUUCCUUAUGAUGGUGGGAGUCCGUCAAUGAAGUUGAUAGAUAUGUCAGUCUAAGCAACAUUAGGAAUAGGGAGGGGCUAAAGCAAGUCUGGGGUGGCUACUAUCUUACUUUUGUGGCGCUGACAAACAUCACAUUCAGUAAUAAAUUUCUUGAUAAAAUUUAUCAAACCUUUCCAGUAAAAAGUUGUCGGACUUGUUUAUAAGUGCAGAGAAAUCCGAAAUGACCAGCAAUUGGUGAUGAAUGGAACUCCUUCAUAAUUAUCUCCUAGGAAGAAGAAUGUGGUGCUACAACUAUUCGACCUUUAUAGCGUAAGUCCACUGAAUCCCAACUAUAAUUUAGGAUAGAACCUAGAGCUUCUUCUAGUCUUUUAAUAAUAUUCUGGAUCUCAGGAUCAUCUUACCAUUCCCUCCUAAUAACUUCCAAAGUCUCAUAAAUAGGAAUAGAAAUAGCUACUAGUUUAGCUUGUUCUGGAAGGCGUGAGAGUGCAUCUACAACUAGAUUCUCGCUCCCCUGUUUAUAAAUGAUCUCACAAUUGAAUCUCAGUAGCUUUGUGACCUAUUUCAGUUGCUCUAAAGAAGAUCUUUUGGUCCAGAAAAUAUUUAAGGCUUUUAUGAUCAGCGCAUAUUUGAAACCGUCGGUCAAUUAAGUGGGGUCUCCAUUUUGUGACUGCAUGUACAAUUGCUAGCAUCUCAUUAUCAUAAAUAGAUAAACUCAUAUGGGAAGGGGAAAGAGCCUUACUAGCAUAAGCAAUGGAUCGACCUUCUUGUAUUAAUACAACUCCUAUACCAGCUCUAGAAGCAUCAAAUUCAAUCACAAACAACUUGUUAAAAUUGGAUAGAGCAAGCACUGGUGUAGUAGUCAUUGUAAUUUUCAAGGAAUUAAAUGUCUGGGUUGCCUCUUCUGACUAUUUGAACACAUCUUUCUUCAGAAGUGAUAUCAAGGGGGCACUAAUUUUGCCAUAAUUUUUCACAAACUUUCGAUAAUAGCUCGUCAAUCCCAAGAACCCCUUUAAAGCUUUGAUUGACUUCAGAAUUGGCCAGUCUUUCAUCACUUGGAUUUUUGAAGGAUCAACUGCAACACCCUUUUGAGAGAUGAUAUGGCCAAGAUACUCAACCUCUGGUUGCCUAAAACUGCACUUGGAUUUCUUAACAAAAAGACAAUGUACACAAAGAAUAUUAAAGACAGUUCGUAAAUGUAAUAAAUGACUCUUUGAGGAGGGACUAUAUAUCAAAAUAUCAUCAAGGAAAACCAGAACAAACUUACAGAGAUGAGCCCGAAAUAUAUCAUUCAUUGGUUAACCCAAAAGGCAUUACUAGAAAUUUAUAGUGACCGUUAUAUGUCUUGAAGGCAGUUUUUUAAAUAUCACCUUCAUGUACUCUGAUUUAAUGAUAGCCCGAUCUUAGGUCCAAUUUAGUGAAAACCUGGGUUCCUCCCAAUUCAUCCAACAGUUCAUCCACCACCGGAAUAGGAUAUUUAUCUUUCACCAUAAUGUUGUUGGGUGCUAUGUAGUUCAAACGCAUCCGCCAUAAGCCAUCCUUCUUUCUAACUAGUAAGACUAUAGAGGAAUAUGGGCUAACACUAGCUCUUAUAACUCUUAUUUUUAGCAUCUCUUUGACAAUCUUCUCUAUCUCUACCUUUUGGAAAUGUGGAUAUCUAUAGGGUCGGAUGUUGGUUGGUGCUUUCCAAAGUAAUAUUGGAAUUCGAUGAUCAUGAUGUCGAAGAGGUGGAAGUCCUUGUGGCUCUGCAAACACAUAUGCAAACUCUUUGAGCAAUGAUUCUAUAUUUUCAGUUGGGAUGUGCACUAUUGUUUCCUUUUCAAUGUUCUGCAAUUGUAUCAAGAAUCUGGUGUGUCUUCUGAAGAACCCUCUCCAUCCGAUGGCUAGUGACAGUUGUGACCUUACUUCGUCUUUUCUUUAGGAUCAUCUGCUUUCCAUUAAUAAAAAAAACUUCAUAAUUAGUUUAGAAAAAUUUUAGGAAACAUCACCCAGGGCUGAAAGUCAUUCAAUUCCAAGAACUACUUCAUAGUCUUCUAAGGGUAGUAAAAAAAAUCCACAAGCAAUUCUUGGCCCUACAUAGUCAGUUUUAUCUUUGAGCACUUACUAUAACGGGUUAGAAUCCGUCCAUCAACGACCUUUACUUCAAAUUUAUCACAACCUUCGAUGUGGUUCAAUAUAGUAAGCUUAUCGGGCUGCAACUUUACUAUCCAUAAAAUUGUUAGUGCUACCAGUAUCAAUCAAAACAGUAACGGGCUGAUGCUUCAAAGUUCCUCCAACUUUCAUAGUUUGUGGGUUAGAGUAGCCAACCAAUGCAUGCACUAUAUGUGUGAUAGGUUCAAUAUCUUCAUCAGUUACCAUACCUUCAAGAUUAGAGUCCAACUCUUCGUCUUCUGAUUCCUCCUCAAUCGACUCAAUCAUCAGAAGUUUCCUUUGUUUGCAUCGGUGCUCCUUACUCCACUUUUCAUCAUAAUGUCAGCACAAACUUUUCGUUGAUCUUUCUUUGAGUUCUUCUCGGGUUAGUCUUCGAGUGUUAGAGCUUCGACUAGGAGUAGAUGGGGUGGGCGGCUUGCUGAUCACAUGUUUGUUGACACCUCUAUUUCGACGAUUUUUCAUGCUUAUUAUUUCGUCAUGCAGACGUGCAAAUGAAAUCGCAAUUAUCAUAGUGCGGGGUUGACAAGGCUUAACUUCACAUUGGAUAUUUGGAUUAAGUCAUUUGAUAAAUGUACCUACCAGUUAUCAUUCAGACCAAUCUCUAGCUUUAUUUGACAAUCGUUCAAACUUGCUUUAAUAUUCCAACAGUGUAGAAGUCUGACAAAUUUUGGCGAUUUGUCCAUCAACAUUCUCGUAUUCAGAUGGUCCAAUGCGAACAAGAAGCCCUAUCUUGAAUUGCUCCCAUGAGGAGACUCUAUGGCAAGUUUCGUACCAAUCAUACCACUGAAUUACAUCUUCAUCUAACUAGAUUAAGGCUAUUUCCACAUCUUCUCAUCUUGGAAAUUCCACCUUAAUACAUUGGUAGCUUGUGUCAUAUUCUUGGGGCCCUUUUCCUAUAUCUCCAAAUCUGUUCAACGCAGAACUUAAACUUUCAUCUUGUUGAAACUUGUUAAAGUUUUCCAAUAAGCUAUUUCUGAAAUCGUUAAGGGUUUCUUGUAGUCGGUUCUCAAUUCUGGUUUCCAAUGCUUCAAUAUGUGCUUUCACUGAGUAAUCAGUAGCCAUUGCGUAAGACUAAAAAUCUAUAAUCCCCAGUUCUUGUUUCUGAUGUCUGGUCAAGGGCAUCAGCACUGUCGACGCGAAGCUACCGAGGAAGCGGACACCAAGGGCAACGUAAAGGCUUGCUACAGUCGCUACGAGGAGGAAAAGUUAUUGCCCUAUUUCUAUCGCUGCGUAGGGUGACAACGCCGAGGGCCGGAAGGCGACGACGUCGGUGUGGCUGUAGUUACUGCGACCCAAGGGAGCAAUCGGCGAGCAGCCAGGGUUGAGGCUAUGGUGGUGCGGUUGGGAGUAGCUACCAAAGCUGCUAUUAAGGUUGGGAAGUGGCAUUGACAACGGUCGAGAGGCAAUGGUAGUGGCAACCGGCAGCUGCUAUAGAGGAUGCAGAGCAUGGGGGAGGCAGCGUUGAUAAGGUUGGGAGGCAGCAUUGACAAGGGUCGAGAAGCAAUAGUGGUAGCGAUCGAUGACUGUUGUGAAUGUCGGUGGAGAAGAGGAAGCGGUGGUGGCGCGACUAGGAACAAUGGCAAUCAGUGGGCUAUAGAUAUCCACAUUUUCAAAAGGCAAAGAUAGAAAAGAUUGUCAAAGAGAUGCUAGAAAUAGGGGUUAUAAAAGCUAGUGUUAGCCCAUAUUUCUCCUCAGUCUUAUUGAUAAGAAAGAAUGAUGGCUCGUGACGAAUGUUCGCGGACUACAGAGCACUCAACAAUAUUACAAUGAAAGAUAAAUAUCCUAUUCCAAUGGUGGACUCUAGGUGGGCUUCUUUCUCGCUCAAGAAGGAUGUGACUGUCGGCUUCCUUAUUUCUUUCUUUUCUUUUUUUUUUAGAUUUUUUUUUUAGAUGAUGAUAGCUACGAUGAGGUGUUGCGAGAAAUUGUAGCGAGAACACUGAUGAUCGCUGCUCCGAUACCAAAUGAUAAAACCCCUAUGAUUUUAUUGUAGAACAAGAGGGAGAAAAUGGAUGAUCGCUUCGAGAGGAUCAACCUCCUUGAUCACUUCGAAGGGAUCGACCUCCUAAGAUUUGUCAAAAGAUUGAAUAAUAUUUUAUUGAUAACUUAAAAGAAACAGAUAUGUUCCUAUUUAUAAAGUUUCACUCAGAGUUCAUCAACUUAAAUUAUUAAUAAUAAAUAAAUAUUAAAUAAAUCUAUAACUCUUAUCAAAUUAAACAAACUCAAUAAAACAUUAUUCAAAAACUCAAAAAAUAAAAAUAUCCUAACAGUUGAUUUUGUGUGAUCUGUUACAAUCAUCUCGGUGCAUUCAUCUAAUGAUAUUUCGAUCAUGAUUGAUGAUCAUUUGAACUUGUUAUUCGAAAAUCCAAAUCAUCUUUCCAUUCACGACCAAUUCUACAUCGCUCAUUUUAUGUUAGUUUGUUAUAUAGAUAUUCUAUAGUUUUAAAAUCCAAACCAUGUGAGAUAUAUAUAUAUAUAUAUAUAUAUAUAUAUCACAUGGUUUGGAUUUUAAAACUUUAGAAUAUCAUACAAGAUUAAGACCACAAUCCUACUGGUAAAUCCUGACUCCAACAUAUGCCAACAAACUCAUUAUAAAAAAUGUAAAUGGCCAAUGACUAAAAGAGGCAAUAGAUUAAUACAUUACAUAAUAACUCAAAUUUCUUACUAAAUGUCAAGUAAUUAACCAAAUUUAUAUGACUCACAAGCAACUCUAAAUCAUCCUCAACAAAAUAAUAAAAACUAGGAAUAGCCUUGUACUGCAGCAUCCUCCAUCAGGUGGAUCCUUAUUCCUUGUAGUAUUAAAUUUCCAACUUAUCUGGACAAAGAGAAGACGAACAGUUUUCCGGGCAAGAUGGAUCAGUUGCAAAUUUGUCUACAGAGAAAACAUGUACAAACUAACCUUGCAAGUGUACUGAAAAGCAUCGAAUAGCAGAAAUUCUUGAUGAGGAAAAAAGAUUACCCAGGAAACGUUAAGCAGGGCUCUGUGUGGCCUUUAAUACCAACUCCUCGGUGGUGGGGCCUAUGAUCUCGUUGGCCGGCUUCAAAGAAAGGCAGUAUAUUCUUCCAAUAGAGUCCUGAGGGACAAGAAAAUGAGUUCCCACCAACUACAUCAAUGUAAUAAUUUUUUCACUUCAGCCAAAUAUUAAUUGCACAAAGGAAUAGAGAUGAGAUAAUAAAGUAUCACAACACCACCACUUGUGACUCGGAUUUGGUUUUCAUCUAUCACAAAGAUUAUUCUGAUCUCUGGUGAUCAGCAAGUCAUGUCAGGUAUUUAAUACAAGCAAGUUAUCAAAGAUAUACAGAACUAUCAGGGUCAACUAUGGUUGAGAAUGCCUAAAUAUAAUCCUACAUUUCUGAGUAAUGCAUAAGCACAUAUAAACAAUUUGUCAAUGAUCUAGUAUAUUAUGAACAUCCUACAGAAGGGGAAGUUGUUCAACUAGUUGCAACUUUGUUCUUUAUUUGGAGAAGUAAUAUUAUCAACAUAUACAAAGAUUGUUCCCCAGAAAAGAAGACAUCCAGCAAUGCUCUCUAUCAUCUGUGGUUGUUUUGAGUCGUUGAGUUGAAAUACAUUUUCAACUGGAAAAAUCGGAUAACUAAAAGAUAGUUUGGAAAUUCAUCGUUCAUGGCAGCAGCAGAUAUCAAUUGUUUUAAGUAAUGGUAUACCUUUAAUGAUUCACCAAGGAACUAACACAGUGAAAAGCAAAACAUAACAGUGCAAGUAUUUUGUGAACAUACUCUCACAACAAUUCCAAAGUCUCUCUAACUUCUGGACUGCAUCUAAAACCUCGAAAUUGCAUUUCAUUCCGAACUCUUCCUGAAUGAGUUCUUCACACCGAAUAUCAAGAUCCUGCAUGUGUGUUCAAAAGGAAAAGUGAAGAAACCUCACAUGAUCCAAUUUUGACUUUCAGUGAGACAAAGAUACAGAUUAUGAAAAUCCAUAAUUAAUCAGGACCUCCAUUGUGGCCUUUCCUUGCUCCAUCAGAAUAAAAUAAGAAACUAUAACCUCUUUGACCUGCACAUAUGAAGAAUUUUCUUGAUAAGUGGAACAGAGGAGAAAAUGUCGUGCUCAACAGCACUUUUCGAUGUUAUUGCAUGGUUGAUCAGAUAACUCUGUAUGAUAACCUACUUCCUGUUGGAUUACAUCAUCACAUAAGUGUAAAAGUGUGCCUCUCCCACUAUCCAGUUGUCUGUCAUACAUUGACUGUGUGAUUAAAUUCCGGUAAGUUCCAUGUUUUGCUGAAACCUGCAGCGCAAAAUUGCAACUUCAGCAAUAGCUAAGAUCAAGACUACAUGAAAUCAAAAAUACUUAUGUCGUUCACAUAAACAAUGAAACUAUCGUCCCAAAACCCCAUGGGAAGGCAUUAACACACUGGAAAUGCACAUGGAGAAACUAGGUUAAUUGGACCUUAAAGAAGUGAGAUUUGCAAUGAGAUCUGGAAGUAAUGGAGCAGUACUUGUAACUAGUGAGAGAAAAUAUCAAAUGUGAAUGCCUAAGAGGUAUUCCAUUAAGUCAAUCAAGCAUGUGAUUUCAUUGGCAGAAGUCAAAACAAGGUCACAAAAAUUUGAUAUUAGGAACAUGAAAUAGAACCAGAACUUAAGAUAUUACAGGUGCAAUUAUAAAGCCACAUCCAAGUCAUCCUUUCUCAAUUUAAUUCAUAUAUAGGAUUCUCAUAUGUGCAAGCCAACAGUAGAAAUAAAAUAGAAGAAGAGAGUAAAGAAAGAUUUGAGAGGAAUUACAUUCUUGUAGUUAAACUUCACACUUAGACCAAAAAGAGUUACAAAUUGACAGACAUACAUAUAUACAUACAUAAAUAUAUACAUACAUAUACAGAAAUACAUAUGUAUAUAUAUAUAUGUAUAUACACACACAUAUACACAUACAUAUAUAUACAUUAUAUGUAUGAACUUAUGGCUUGUCGUAUAUACAUACAUACAUACAUAUAUAUAUGCCGAUCCCAAAUAGUUGGGACUUAUGGUUUUGUUAUUGUUGUUGUUGUAUGUACAUAUACGUAUGUAUGUAUAUGUAUAUAUGUAUUUAUUUAUCUAAACCUAUUACUUGUCUAGACUAGUAAGGAUUAAGGAAACAUGAAUAAGAACGAGAUACCUCACUUGGGUGCUGCCUUGCCCCGGUCAAUCCUCACAGGCUGCCACGUUGGUCAGUCACCCUCAAGUGGUGAGAUGUUCUGGGCUCUGGCCACAGCUGCUUUGGUCUGUUUGGCCCCAGGAAGAUUGGGAGCCUUUCUUGUUAACCUAGAGCUAUUUAUGAUUGAACUGAAAGAGGAAAUUCAAGCUGGACUGAUUAGGCCCCAAUCCUAUUCCAAGUAAAUGUCAAACUUGUUGACUAAUCAAACUUCAACCGAAGUCAGCUAAGCUCCUUUGCGUAAGUAUUUACAAAGGUAUCCAUGUGGGAUAAAAAUGGCUAAUGUGGUGAGACAAAUCUCUUCAACCAUGUCAAGUAGGUUUCUAAUCUGACUUGGUGCAUUCUGUGGGUCCCAAGCUUCCCGCUGAUGUAGGGAUUACAUGUCAUGCUGGUUAGAAUAUUGCUUCAUAAAAAACCCUCCCUCUUAUAUUCACCUAGUGAAUCACCAAUAUAAAAUGAGGCAACUUAUUCUGAGGCUAUGAGGCUUGAUUUGAUCUCCAUUUUCUAUGAAAUUUAUGGCAAUAUCGAGGGAGUUCCUUUAGAUCAUGUGGAAGUAUUAUUCAACAAUUUUGAAGGUUUGAAAAUGAGGCUUUAGAGGUGAAUAGAUACAAUUUAGUUGGAAUCACAGGCUUGUAGUGACUUGUAUCAGGAUCAUACUUCACCCAUUUUGGUUUUUGUUCCACAACUCCUAGUCAAACUUGCCUUCCCUUGUGAUAAAAUUUGUUGAUACCUUUUUAAGGUUCUAAAUUCAUACACCAUAAACAUUGGUUUGUUGGUAGUGUACAGACUCUCUCACCAAAUGUUGAAGGUUCAAAUUUUCAACUGACACAUUUUUCGAAGAUGUUAGCUAGCUUAGCUGGUAGAGACUUUGAUAGUAUAUCAAGGUCUUGGGCAUGAAUCUCGUCUUCAUCACUUACCCUUUCUGAAAAAAAAAGGUUCUAAAUUCAUCUAAGGUGCCUGCAAAACUUAGCCACCAUAUACCAAGGAUAAGAUCAAAAUUUUUUGAAGGGUGUACCAAAAAGCUCCAUCUCAAAUUAUUCUCCUCAAAUCUCAGAGGAUACUUCAGAAACGAAGGGGAAUAACUCAACGAUCACAACAUCCAAAGGUAGCUUUUUCGAAUUGAUAUAGCUAAUCUUGAAGGUAAGGAGAUUUAGGAGGUAUCACAAAGUAGAAUUUGUUGUCUUGAUAGUGUUUGGGUCUCAAAGUAGAAUUUUUUAUCUGGGUAUAGUUUUUAAGGUACAUAUCACUGUCCUUUACCUGGAUCACCCGGUCGACCCUUUCCUAGGGUUAAGCCAAUCAUGAAGAAGGGGCAAGAAGGUUGGAGUCAUUGACCAUGUUAGCAUUAGCAUAUUAAUUAACAGAUUGUUGUCCAAGCCAUGGUUUGCCUUACCGGUCCAUACCGGUGUACCAAUCGACCAUCGGUAUAAUACAUACUAACGUACCAACACAUGGUAUGAUGGGGUGUACCAACGGACUGAUAUGUACCGGCCAUACCAAUCCUUGUUAAACCAAUACAUACUGCCCAUAUCGAGCAGUAUGCCAUGGUACGACGAACAUUAGUCUAAGCACAAUCAAUUACACUGUUGGUGCAGCAAGUUGUUGGAUAUGGGCUGACAUAACCAAUAUAGGUCAUUCCAGAGGUACUUCUCAUUUUAAAUAGAUCAUGAAGCACUCUCUUCCUGUUUGCCAAGAUUCUCCAAGGUUAGUGCUUCCUCAACCUGUUUUCUUUUAUAUAUAAGCCUAAGAUGAAGGGAUUGAGGUUGUCUUACAAAACAUAAGUAGCUUAUGCUAGGCUUCUACUAACUAGAUAUGGCCGAGAUCUUAGUAUCACCACUGGGUUACAUCUGUCAUCUCCAAUCCAUCCAUCAUGUUCAAUGUUCAUUGAUUUUAAUAAAGCUGCAUAGUUUUUUAUUACAUAGGAACUCCUAAUGGUCUUCAAUCAUGUAUAUAAAAAUAAUUUAACUCCAAAUUGUCUAAACUAACUAGGAUUUAACAAAUAUGAAAGAUAUUAAAAUACCUAUCAUUGGGCUAUUUCCCAACCUUAGCUGACCCUCCUCAUGGGGCCUCUAAGCUAGUAGGUCACCCUAAAGAGGUAUGGUAUCCCAUUCACGCAAUGACCAACUGUAAUAGCUUGCCAGCCCUAUUGAAACUUCCCUCUCUUUGUGUUCUUCCAAGAUGAUUGGACCUUUCUUCAUGACAAUAAUCAAAAUGGACUGAUCCAGAAGGGAAAAAGUUGAGCUUAAUAGGUUCAAUCCCAAUCCAAUUCCAUGUAGGAUUCAAUCAGUUUAACUAGCUAAAAUUUGGCCAAAGUCAUUGAAACUCCCAUGGAACUGUAAUAAGCAUCAAUGAAGGUGUGAUGGGAUGAGCUUGGUCAACCGAUCCUCCUAGUCCUAUCAUGACUGAUAUAGGACUUUGUGAUGAUGACAAUGAUCCAGUGGACAAUAAUAAUUACAUCAAAAACAAAAGAUGAAAUAAAAGAAAAGUAAACUAAUAAUAACAUGCAAACAAAAUGAGAAAAAUUAAACCACAUAAAAACAAAAGUUUCAUUAGAGAACUGUAAGGAUAAGGAAGCGAGAAAGUACUAAUAAAUUCACACCCAAAAAAAAAUCAUAAGUAGAAGUUUCAAAAAGUGCUUAUGAAAAGUAGACCUUAGCGCAAUCGAAACGACACCAGAAAGGAUAGCUAUAGCAACCCAUAUAUCAGCUUUAGGCAUUUCAAGUGAACUAACAAGAGUCACCUGCAAAGAAAUUCAGGGUUAUAAUGCCAAAAAGAAAUUAUGAUUAUAUUCACAAAUGAAUAUAACUGAUUUAUUUUAGACUUACAAGCCCAAUUAUGACAGAAAUGAGAAACUUGACCCAGUCCAUGGGAGUUAAACUUGGAUUUUUCUUUUCAGACUACAAAAUUGAACAUUGCAUCUCAAGUAUCAGAUCAAAAAGGAAAUUUACUGGAAAAAGAUCGCAAUAAGAUCUCUUUUUCCUUAUUUCAAAAGUAAAAUAUAUACCAAUACUAACUCCAUAUCAGCCAUAGGGAUAUUUUUAAAGUGCUUCACAAAAAUUCCUCGAUCUACCAUGUUCUUGGUGCCAGCCCGCCUGUAUAUUGUGAAAACAUGUUAAAUUUCUAGAUUGUUGAAUUUUUUUUUCCUUCCAUGCACAUUCAGUGAUGUAAUUUUAGGAUAUAUACAUGGGCUUUCGUUGAAAGAUCAAGUCUGAAUUUGAAGAAAGAACAAUUAAACACAUACCUAUACACAACAAUCAUCCUAUCAAAAGCAGGCUCUUGUAUCCUAAUCUUGCCAAACAAAUUUUGCAUGCUUUAUGAGCACGCACAUAUAAAACAAAUGAAAAAAUAUAUAAAAACAUCAGUCUUCAAACAUGGAACUGAAUAGAAAAAGAAACAGAAUAUAGACAAAAAUUGAGACCUCAAUUCCAUGUUUUCAAUCCGAAUACAUUCGACAUACAAAUCCUCUUCUGAGUCAGGAUUAGUUUUGUCUGUUUUUUUGGAAUAACUCUUUGUUGUUCUGCUUAAUCUUCUGAAAAAGAGAAUUUGUAGCCUGCAACCAUUUUCAACAGUAAUACCAUUUGUUAAUUGAAUAAGAGAACUAUAAAGAAACAACAAUGAUCAAAUACCUUGUCUUCUUCAGGAACCACAACCAUAUACGAGAAAUGAUCAUAUCCAGUUUCUCCAUUAUAAAGUAAUCAGUUGUUUGAUCUACUCCAAUGCCCCGACGAAAAAUUACAUACUUGUAAGUUGUAACAAACGGUAAACCAUGUUAGGAUGUGAUAAGAAAGACAUAUACAAGUCUUUCAAUGGAUACAAGUUCACACUAAUUGUAACAGAUGAGUCCAGGAAUACCUACAGUCGCAUUUCAUAUAUUAACAAAAAUAUAUAAUGAGACAUUUAAAGCAUAUACUUCUUGACCAACAAGACAAAUCACGGGAAGAAGUGCUCAGGAAUAUUAACUAAUAAAUACAUCUUUUUCCGAAACCAUUCUAAUAUCUCAAGGAACUCUAUCAUAAGUUUAUUACCUUAUCUGAAAAUUCAGGAAGGUUCUCAUGAGGAUGAUCAUUAAAAUAUCUUGAUAAAAGUCUUUUGUCAAGCUGCAUUUGAACAUUUUGAAAUAGGUUGGUGAACAGAACUGUAAUAUGUGAUGCAAAACGAAUUGAAUAUAGAUGAACAGAAUUGUACUUUUCUUUUUGGAAGUAGCAUUUGCACUAACCUUGGACUCAUCAACUUUGAUAGGGAGGUUCAAUAAGUACUGUCCACAAUGUGCAACAUCAAUCUCCUCAUCAGUCACUAUUUUAAAGUUGCUCUGUUCCAUUACCUGCAUUGCACAAAAGAAUGGUAAUAGAGUGCCUUUAAAGCAUGUAGAACAAAAGCCAUGAUUGUCUAAGAAUUGUGAUAAAAUUUUGAAGACUUCAAGUUGUAAAUGAGUUCAUUACUCAUAACCCAAUAUUCAUAGUUUACCAGGAUGAUCCGCAAUCACUUCAAUUCUCCAUUUCUUGUAUGUAGGAGAAGUAAAACCCAAUUUCUAUUUGAAAGCAUAAAGGAAGAUAGGAAUAGGUUUGUUUUUACACCAACUUAAGAAACUGCAUAUCCUAUACAAAGUUUGUUUGCAUAAGUGCAACAGAUCCUCAAGAAAAAAGUUUAUAGGCACAAGUAUUUUUUAUGACGAGGACCAUUCCCAAAAUAUUUCAAGGGCUGAGUUCAUGUGUUAUCAUCUUCAAGUUAAAAGAAACAAUCCAACCACCACCGGAAACUAUAGCUGAGAGGAAAUAAUCCCCCUUGUAGCACCAAUAACAUAUUUAUAAAUCAACAUCAAAUAUCUGAAACAUUUUAUACGAAUGCUAAUUACUUAUUUUUGACAUUAUGUAUGGCAAGUUUAACACUUUGAAAUGAUCAGAACUGAAAUUCAUAAAGAUAUCACAAGUUGUAUAAUCCAUUCAAGUGAUAUUUUUUUAUAACUUAUGUAUCUUGACUUGAUCACCAAUCAUGGAAGUGGUUCUCACUCUAACAUUAAAUUUCAGUAUUUAAAACUUGAGGAACAGCUAUAAAGAUAAUAGGACAGAAACAAUAACUCACCUGAAAGAAGUACAACAAGAAAUUCUAUUCCAGAACAUCAAUCUCUUCGGGAGAUAAGUUUUGCUGAUCCAAUUUGUGAGCACCAUGAACAGGAUCAAAUAGAGAAUAUAAUUGCUGAAAAUAUAAAAACAACUUUAAUAACAAUGAAAUACCUUUAUCUAACAUGAAGAAACUUCAGUUAACAUUAUCGAAUGAAGCAUGAAGAGUAGUGCAACUAUAGGACAUCCAAAAGCAGUGUCAUGCAUGUGCUAACAAUUUUCUUAGGGCACAAGUGGGUAACCAAAAAGAAAAUUGCAAAUGCAUACCAUUAGAUCUUCAAACUGGAGAAGGUACCAUGCUCUAAUAGUAUAUUCAACUCUCUUACAGAGCUUUAAAAAUUCUGCCCUAUCAUAAUCAUGCUCUGCAAUAGAAAAAGUAAAUAUGAAAAAGCAGAAGAGUCCCCAGUUGAGAUGUUCCUAGAAGAGAAAAUCUCAAAAAUAAACAAAGAAAAUGAAUUAGACUACAGCAUGAUAAGGAAUGAACAAAUUGGUAAACCAUGUUUUUCACAUGGAUCCACAUGAAUGAGGCAAGAAACGAAGAGUUCACAAAACCCAGCUGCAGGCUUGAAGCUCUCCCACCAAGCAGUUAAGCGCGUUUUUUCCCCUCAAUGCAGACAAAUCAUAUCAACCAUCAAAGAGAAGAAGAAAAAAAAGAAUAUACUAUAUAUUUGCAGAAACUUUAGGAACAAUAUCCGUCUAAAAUGUCAGAUGAGGGUAUGAAAAAGAGAAAAAAGAAAGGACCAAGGAUUAUGAAGAAGAGGUAGGUGGGCACCGACGAGGACGGCAAGCUUCAUGACGAGCUUAGGCUUGAGGAUGGGGAUGACGGACUCGCGCUCCAGCCGGAUCACGUCCUUGCUGCCGCCCAUCCUCCUCCUCUGGACUAUGCCCCCGCCAGCUUCCAUGUGGUCCACAGAGGUCGGUGGGGAAGAAUACCUCUGUUAUUAGCUACUAGGGUUUUGGAUGUUGGGGGAAUCCAAAGAGGAAGCAACGUAACAGUAAUUUUGGCUGCGUCGGCGGUUACCGUUUCGGUCAUUCUUCCGUCGAAGGCAGCGAGCGAGUCGGACCACCAUUUCUCCGGACUCAAUUGCUCAUGUCGGUGUUUCAUGUAACCAAUAUCUUGAAAACUUAAUCAGAGAAAUGGAAUAUUUAUCUCACAUAAUUUUUAUAUUAUAAUAUAUAUAUAUAUAUAUAUAUAUUGAAAAUUAAUCUGAGAAAUGAAAUAUUUAUCUCACAUAAUUUUUAAAAUAUAAUAUUUUAAUAAUAAAAAAGUCGUGUGAAUAUUAUCUCAUGAAAAUAAGGUGACAAAAGUAAAGUUUUCCAAAUGCAUAGUUCCCACGUUUUCUUUGAAACUGUAAAAUUUCGUCAUAAUAUUCACCGAAAGUGAAGUUUUCAUAAGAUUUGCUCCACAUCAUUUAAAAAAAUAAAAUUUCAUAACAUACCAAACUAUUUUAGCACUACAAAAUAUGAAUAUUAUUUCAUAAAAAGUAUAAUAAUAAUAAAUAAAUUAUCGACUAAGCACGAUAUUUUAAUCGGAUGUGGAGGGUUCAGAAGAUCUUCUUCACCCUAUUUUGACAUGGUACAACAUUUUAGCUUUAGAAACUCAUAUGACUGUUGAUUUAUGAAAAACAUGAUAGACAAAAUUUAUCCAAACUAAAAAAUUCAUGCGAUGUUCUUCGUACCACUUUAAAGUUAUAAAAUUUCAAUAUAGCAUAACAUUUUUUAGCAUUAAAAAAAAUUAUAUGAAUGUUAUUCCAUGAAAAAUUAUGAUGAUUAUACAAUUUAUUAAAAGUGAAAGGUUCAUAAAAUUAUAAAAUUUAUUUUAUGUUAAAAUAGGUGGUUGUAAAAAUUAUCGAAAGUGGAAUGUUCGUAUGAUUUUCUUGGCACCAUUUGAAAAGAAGUACAAUUGUCAUAAAAUUUGUUUAAAAUGGAAGAAUAUGACAUUUCAAAAACAUAAUUUUGACUUAAUAUAAUAUUUUAGAACUAGAAAAAUUAUAUGAAUAUUAUUUCAUGAGAGAAUAUGAUAGUAAUAAAAUUUAUCAAAAGUGAAAGAUUAGCAGGAUCUUCUUUCCACUGUUUUAAAAACAUAUAUUUGACUUAGUACUAUUUUAGCACUAGAAUAAUUGUCUGAAUUUUCUUUUGGCGAAAAAACAUGACAACCUUUGAAUUUGAUGAACAUGAAUGGUUCACAUGAUUUUCUAUAUACCAGUUUUUAAAAACAUAAAUUUUUGAUAAAUUUUAAUUAUUUAAUUCAAGGACCUUCCUAUCAUUUUGCAUUACUAAAUAACAUUUUUAAUCCUCCAUCUUUAGUAAAUCAAAUAAUACACACAAGGAUAAUGUUUUAUAGUGAACUGAUCAUCGAAGCCCAUAUUUGAACCCAACUGAUUUGGUCGAUCAAAUUUUGACGAUUCAUCUUCAAAUCAAGUCUUAUCUUCAUCAUUUAUUUUUUUUUAUAAAAAUAAAUAUUUUUUUUAAAAAAUAUAGUAACAUAGAUCUUAGCAUCAAAUCUUAUUUUCAUGAGGAAUCCUUUGCGAAAAGAUUAAAAUUGUAAAACGUAUUGAUGUAUGAAGUGAUCAAUUGGAUUUUGUUAGACAAAUUAUACAUUGGUAAUUUAAGCCUUUCCUAUCUUCUAAAUUAAAAAAAAAUGAAAAUAAAAAUUGGGCGUUAGUGUAUAUCUUCGUUGGAAAGUCUGCCGUCCUGUGAAAAGAGGUACUAUUAGCGACUGAUGUUUAGACCCCAAAUAUCUGGAAGCUUCGUUGCACUCGCAACAACUAUGCCACGUAGGGAGAAGACGCAACCACUGCGCACUAAAGGACACGCAGCAGUCUUACAACGAAAUGAAGACACGAUGGGCUUUGAUUGGGUCUUCCCGACUCGUUUCCAUGGGCUCGUUAGGCCACACGCGGCGAGGACGGUUGGAAUGCGGUGACUUUUGGACAUCAGAAGAAAACCACGAUUCCCGUCGGACUUUUUCCGUUGCGAUUGCGGUCCUCGCACGUACUCGCGUUUCUGCUGCCCUGCUCCUGCGUCUGAACAAGGUGGGCAUUUAAGCAGCAGCAGUCGGUCUGCAGAGCAUUCAAGGCGCACCAGAGCUUCGGCAGGUAGUCUACUGCUACGAUCAACCCGCCCCACCUUUGGCUUUUCCUCGCAUUGACGCUUCCACCCACCCCCGCCUUCGGUUUUACUUCUCAUCGCUCCUCUGUUGAGAUCUCGGGAGAGGAACAUGGAGCCGGAGGGCGAGGGUCGCCUGCCAAGCCGUGGUGACGGUACCGGAAGCGGUGAUACCGAAGAGAAGAAGGUGGCUCUGAUGAGGAUCUUCGUCGAGGGAAAAGAUCCAGCUGCCAAGGUUCAUCUUCCUCUGUUUCUGUUAAUUUGCUUGGAUAUAGCUGGAUGCGUUUAUAGCUCUUAAUUUUCUUGCUGAGCUUUCAAUUCUGAGCGGCAGAGACUCUAAAAAGGUGGAAGAAAGAACAAAAGUAAGCAGAGUAACAGAGAAUUCGGAGUGGUAUUCCGGGAAAGAUGAAAAUACUCGCAACCAAACGAAAACUAGGAUCCAAGAGAGUCUAACCUAAUUUAUACCGGUAAGAUCUUGCAUAUGGAACUUAUGUCCAUCUUGUUACUGGUUCAGAAUGAGAAGAUUCAGAUAGUGCCUAAGGGUAGGAAUGAAAUAGCUUGAGAGAGUCAGACGCCGAAGGGUCUCUCACCGUCACGUUAUGGCUGCAAUUUUUUUUUUCGCAAAUGAGAUUCAAUCCCAGGAAUUUAAAAUGACCUGACAUAUUGUGUCUCCGGCUACACUAGUUAGCACCUUCACUAUAUGCCUCCAAUUUACUGAAUUGUGUCCACACCCUCUUGCAAGUGUCUCCUGCAGGUGCAAAUUUUGAAGUGCACGGUGCAGUAGAAUGACUACCCAUGUUUUUGUUAGAUGUGUAAGUUUACACCACAUUAUUGAUUGAAUGUUAUUCAUUUUAGACCAUAAAUUGUAAGCUGAGGUAGCUUUAUGGUAGGUACAUCAAGCAAAAAUCGUGACUGCUUGUCUUCCCAACUUUCCAAAGACCAGUGCUUUUUAUAUGCCCAUAAUCACCAGUAGAUGAAGCAGCAGCUCAUAUAACGGGAAAUUAGGAUGAUGGUGGUGAAAGAGCAUAACCAAUUUAACUAAGAGUGAGGAGUCCGUGUUGCAUUUAUGAGUGUCUCCAAUGUUUUCAAGUUUCUGCAGGGCCAAAUUAUGCAGGAACAUAACGUGAAACGUACCACACUCUAAAUUAAUUUUACUUCUUGGAUGUUUCAUUGAACUCAAGUAAGCCUACUUGAUACUUUUUUUACUUGCCUGCGUUUUUGAGUGGUUUCUCUUUCAAUUCAUUGUGUUUCAUUCACAUGGUGGAUUUAAACUCUUCCUUCCCUCACCUUGGAUUCCUGUGAGAAUACGUUCACGGAUGUCACACAUCGUCAUUCAAAUCAACUCCUUUUGGGAGUGGGGUGGAUGGGUGUAUUUUUGUGUCCUCUCUUUUUUGUUUUGAGCAUUCCUCAGAGUGCUAUAGUUAUUACAUCCAUUUUUGCUCUUAGUUUAUAUCUUUCUACAUUGAUGACAGUGCACAUUUAGAUGGUCCAAACAGAUACUCUGCAGAGUUCUAUACUUACUAGUUUUCUCUUAGUUUACAUCUUGCUACAAUGAUGACACUGCACAUUUAGAUGGUACUUCACAUUCCAGACUCAGCACAUGAACCUUGGCAAUGUUUGUCCUUUGUUGUUGGCAUUGUAGAUGCAUCUUCGCCAGUCAUUACCAAUUACUUUUUUUUUUCUCUUUAUUGUUAGCAAAAGGGAGAAUCAAUCCCCUUUUCAUUUCACUAGAACUGAAAAAAAUAUGAACUGGAAAUAUAUGUGAGACUGAGUGAGAGAGAGAGAGAGUACCAACUUGAUGCUCUGUCCUACCAUAAGCUUCCACAAACCUGUUCCAAACAAUAGUUAACUGUAUGUCUAUUUUUUCCCUUGGACAACCAGUUUGUGUAUUCAUCAGGUGGUUUCUUGAUUAAAUGGUACUAAAGGGUAUACCAUACCAUACCAUACAAUAGUUAAAUGCUGUCCCCCUUUUACCACAAGCUAUCGCAAAAGUAGAUUCUUUACUUCUCGGCAUGCAUACCACCAAUAAACAUAGAUGUGCUCGUGAAUUUGUUAAUCCAAUUCUUUAUUCUUCUAGGAAAAUCCAAAUCAGUUACUAUUUUAGCAACGAAAGGGCCAAACUACAGAUUAUAUACCUUUCAUAUGUUAACAUAUAUCAUGCAUCUAGAAGUAUACCUUUCCUGCAAAAACUUCCUGGCAUCUCACGUGCAAGUAUCUGAAAUCCAUGUAUUUGGGAAUUGGAACAAAUGCUAAUUAUUCUUCGGUUAUAAUCAUCCCUGUAACCCUCCUUUCUCCAUUUCCAUGAUUUUUUUAUGAAAAGAAAAAUAACUUCUAUUAUUUCAAAAGCCUAUUACAACCAGCACCUUGCUGGUCCAAAAUAAGUAAAGAGCAUAGGCCUUCUGCCUGUGCUAUCUCCAUUGCCAUAAUUAUAAUAAUAGUAUUGUAUAAGAUGUGACCAUCCUUUUUUCAUCGCUCUUAGUUUAUGUAAUCGUAAAUUUUUUUCAUUUCGAUAUAGAACCAUUCUAUUGGAUGUUGUGCUGCUUAUUUAGAUGUUAUACAUGAUGCUUUAUUAUUUUUACAUUUUCCCUUGGUUAUUGGAUUCCAUUCUUUUUCUUUUGCCCAACACUUAUUUACUUUCAUAUGGUGCUGGUGAUUAAUAAAGCAACUGGGAGUGCCAAAUGCAGGAGGUAGACAACUUUAUGCUCAGAAGGUUCUUGCGUGCACGUGACCUGGACAUUGAGAAGGCUUCUUUUUUAUUUCUAAAAUAUCUUAAGUGGAGGAGAACAGCAGUUCCUAAUGGAUUCAUUUCAGAGGCAGAGAUCAGGAAUGACCUUUCUCUGAAGAAGGUGUUCAUGCAGGGAUUUGAUAAGACUGGCCAGCCUAUAGUAGUUGCUUUUGGUGCUAAACACUACCACUCUAAGCGAAACAUGAAUGAGUUUAGUAGUAAGUGUCACUUGAUAUGAAUAGCAGUCAAUAAAUAGCACAAUUAUCUGUUUGUCUUAUCACCAAAUAAUUGUCACUUAUUAAAGACACAAAGUAUGAGUUGAAGCAUAACAAAACCCUGUUACUAACAUUGUGGAUGAAAUUUCAGGUUUUGUCAUAUAUGUUCUUGACAGAAUAUGUGCCAGGUAACUAUAAACAAUGUGCUGUUAGUAAGAAAGUUUAUUUUUCAUUUCACGUGAUUCUAUUUUAACUAUCUCAAUUCUGAACCAUAAUGUAAAGACAAUGAAUUGACAAAUAUUUUAAUUGUUUGAAGCAUGAUUAAGUACUCAUAGACGUUCUUUGAUGCUAUAGAUGUGCUUUUAUCUAAACCUUGACGUGCUUGCAGAAUGCCUACAGGUCAGGAGAAGUUCACUUGCAUUGGUGAUCUUAAAGGUUGGGGAUUAUCAAACUGUGACAUUAGGGCAUGCAUCGCAGCUCUAGACAUUAUGCAGGUUUGUCCUAUGAAGCAAAUUAUUGACCAAAGUAACUAGGAAAACUAUUCAGAUUAAGGAUUUACUUGAUAACCUUGAACACAGUGAUAUUUCUUUUUUACUUCAUAAGAUAGCGUAAGAGUUGCCAAACUAUUUGUCAUUCCUCAUGCCAACUAGAUACAUUAGUAUCUAAUGGAAGGAGCAUCAAGAUUUAAAUUGGACAUCAAGGUUUCUUUAGGAUCAUUAUAUGGAUGAUUAUAUAGAUGAUAUCUUUCAAAUUCCUUUCUGGCCCCCAAGGCUAUCACCGAGAAUACUUUGUAUGAUUCCCACUUCUCUGUUGUAACCAGGACCCUAGAUAUUAAAGAUAGACAUCUCUUCUUUCUCCUAUUUCACUCUUUUGUCUUUCUCCUAGUAUGAAGAAUAAGAGUGAAUAGAACGAAUAUCUUCUGAGGAAGGAUAAGAAAGAAUUCAGUGACUUUCUUGAAAAAAGAGUAACCUAAGACCAUUCUGAAGUAUCAGUGAAAUCAUCGAUCAAAUAGAACCUUUGUUAAAUGAUAGGAGGAUCUUGACAUCAAUAAUGGGAAAGGAUUAGUUAAGUUCAUACGUAGAGGUAUAUGUCAAAAGUAUGGUAUGCAAUACAUUCAGAUAUAUUUGAUAUCCAGAGUUUAGUGAAAGCGUGAACAACCAAAUUGUAAUCAACAUUUGUAUGUAAAAAUUUUGACAUAAAUAUAUAAAUGUAGACCAUAAGGUUUUAUCAUAGAAGAAAUGAGAGAAAAUAGGAUGAUCACUUCGAGGAGAUCGACCUCUUAAGGUUUGUCAGAAGACUGAAAUAAUAUUUCAUUGAUUGUCUAAAAGAAACGAAAACAUCCCUUUUUAUAGAGUUCCAUCUAAAGUCCACCAGGACUUGGACUCUUAAUAAAUAAAUAAAUAUCAAAUAAAUCUCUAUCUGACUCUUAGACCAACUCAAUAAAAUAUUUAUUCAAAGCUCAUAAAAUAAAGGCAUCCUAACAAUUCCUCCCCCUUCAAAUCAAUCUUGUUCUCAAGGCUGAACAACAUCAAACUCGGGGAGCUUCUCUUUCAAUACUUCAAUCAUAAUGUAUCUACGAUGCAUCACAACCCGUUAAUCAAGUAAGUACGGGCUCCACUUUUUGAUAGUGUAAGUAAUAUGUCAGCCUUUUAGUAUAGUAAUCGUUGUAGUUUUCUAAAGAACCAUCUCCAUCUAAUGGCUAGUGGCAGUUGUGACCUUACUUCCACAUCUUCCCCUUAGGAUCAUUUGCUUUCCAUUAAUAAAAAAAACUCAAGAUUAGUUUAGAAAAAUUCUAAAAAACAUCACCCAGGGUCGAUAGCCAUUCAAUUCUAAGCACCACUUCAAAAUCUUCUAAGGAUAGCAAAAAAAAGUCCAUAAGCAACUCUUGGCCCUGUAUAAUCAAGUUUAUCUUUGAAUAUUUGCCAUCACAAGUUAAAAUACAUCCAUUAAUAAUUUUUACUUCGAAUUUGUCAUAAUCUUCAAUGUGGUAGGCCAAUCUGUCGGGAACUUUACUAUCCAUAAAAUUAUUAGUACUACCAGUAUCAAUCAAAAUUAUAACAUACUGAUGUUCCAAAGUUCCUCCAACUUUCAUAGUUUGCGGGUCAGAAUAGCUCGCUAAUGUAUGUACUGUAUGUAUAAUAAGUCUAACAUCUUCAUCAAAAUCUAUACCUUCAUGAUCGGAGUCCAUGUUGUUAGCUUCUGGUUCCUUCCUAAUUUGUUCAAUCAUUAGAAGUUGCCCUUGUUUACAUUAGUGCUCCUUACUCCACUUUUCAUCAUAAUGCCAGCAUAAACCCUUCGCUGAUCUUUUCUUGAGUUCUUCUCGGGUUAGUCUUCGGGUGUUCAGGCUUCAGUUGGGAAUAGAUGGGGCAGGUGUUAGAACCCUUGCAGAUUCUAAACUUGGGGUUGAUCUCUUUAGGGGAUCGGCCUCCUUGGAACUCUAUAGGGGUUUCUCCUUCCAAGUUGCUGCUCAAAGGCUGCAGAAAAGAUUCAUCUAUUGCUUAUUAAAAAAGAGAAGGAAUACAUGGCUAUUUAUAGGGCUUCUAAACCCUAACUCCUAAUAGAACUCCUACUUAAAACUCUUACUUCUAACCAAUUCCUAAUAGGACUCCUACUCAAGACUUCUAUUCCCUUACAACUCCUAAUUCUUCUAUAAGAAAAAACCUCCUACAUGAAUGCCCCUCUCAAUUAGGACUCUCCUAGCUAGAGUCCUAACAGAAUGUCCCUCUCAAUUAGGACUCUCCUAGCUAGAGUCCUAACAGUUUUACAUGAAUGUCCCUCUCAAUUAGGACUCUCCAAGCUAGAGUCCUAACAGACCCGUCCUCUUCAAAUCAGCCUUGUCCUCGAGGUUGAUGAUUC